Molecule: ribosomal RNA, 496 nt
Filed under: uncultured bacterium
Lineage: Bacteria
Description: partial 16S ribosomal RNA
Rfam family: Bacterial small subunit ribosomal RNA
Source: RNAcentral
ACGAACGCUGGCGGCGUGCCUAAUACAUGCAAGUAGAACGCUGAAGAGAGGAGCUUGCUCUUCUUGGAUGAGUUGCGAACGGGUGAGUAACGCGUAGGUAACCUGCCUUGUAGCGGGGGAUAACUAUUGGAAACGAUAGCUAAUACCGCAUAACAAUGGAUGACACAUGUCAUUUAUUUGAAAGGGGCAAUUGCUCCACUACAAGAUGGACCUGCGUUGUAUUAGCUAGUAGGUGAGGUAAUGGCUCACCUAGGCGACGAUACAUAGCCGACCUGAGAGGGUGAGCGGCCACACUGGGACUGAGACACGGCCCAGACUCCUACGGGAGGCAGCAGGAGGGAAUCGUCGGCAAUGGGGGCAACCCUGACCGAGCAACGCCGCGUGAGUGAAGAAGGUUUUCGGAUCGUAAAGCUCUGUUGUAAGUCAAGAACGGGUGUGAGAGUGGAAAGUUCACACUGUGACGGUAGCUUACCAGAAAGGGACGGCUAACUACGUG